This 343-nucleotide unclassified non-coding RNA is filed under the name Hevea brasiliensis (rubber tree). The record is from RNAcentral. Lineage: Eukaryota; Viridiplantae; Streptophyta; Magnoliopsida; Malpighiales; Euphorbiaceae.
GGGCAAUCCAGCGACAGCGACAGCAAUCGGUAUAAAGAUGAAGUUGACCCGUUUCAUAUACCAUCCGACUACACAUGGGUUGAUGCAAAUGAGAAGAAACGCCGCAUAAAAGCAAAGAAAGCAAAGAACAAGAAGCAUAAGAAACAAGCUGCUAAAGGCGGAAAUGGAGGACUACAAAUGAGUGAGGACGUGGAAAAGUAACUUUUUAUAGGUGAUUUCUGCAGCCAUGCCACUUUGAGAUCCUUCUGCAACAGAUAAAGGAGGUAUGCUUAUCUCCUAUUUGAAUUUAACCUCUUUUUCUAUUCGUCACAUUGAAAUAUCAUGAGCAUAGAGGAUCCACGGG